UUCAAAUAAUGUCUAAUAACUCACUCCAAAAUAGGCAAUAACUGUUUUCUUUAUAGUUGACCCCACAUGUUGUCAUGAAAAUUAAUACUAAAUAAAAAAGUAGCCAAAGUUCCUCUUAGUCUUUGCUUUAUAUAAAAAGUUAAAUACUAUGAAUAAUUGCAUUGCAUUGAUAAAGAGUUUCCAUUAAAAGAGAAAGUAUUCCCAAUUAAUCCUUUCCCUGUUAAAGUGUGCUCUCCCCUUGACAAGUAAAAUCAUCUGGCGUUAGACAGAGUAAAAUAAUCUGGCGUUAGACAGAGUAAAAUAAUAAAGUAGGGUGCAUCAGGGCACAAUGCAACUCAAUGGGUUAACUGGAUCGUCUGGUGUUAGACAGUAAAAUAAUAAAGUAGGGUGCAAUGUGACUCAAUGGGUUAACAAGUAAAAUUGUCUAGCUUUACAGUACAUCUUCCAAGGGGGGGCUGGAUUUGG
This is a non-coding RNA of Paramuricea clavata, 465 nucleotides long. NCBI's taxonomy places the organism in Eukaryota, Metazoa, Cnidaria, Anthozoa, Malacalcyonacea, Plexauridae. The record is from the annotation of a GenBank genome assembly.